This 253-nucleotide ribosomal RNA is filed under the name uncultured bacterium. RNAcentral describes it as "partial 16S ribosomal RNA". It matches the Rfam family "Bacterial small subunit ribosomal RNA", at positions 524 to 776 of the family's 1533-position model. The record is from RNAcentral.
UACGAAGGGGCUAGCGUUGCUCGGAAUCACUGGGCGUAAAGGGUGCGUAGGCGGGUUUUUAAGUCAGGGUGAAAUCCUGGAGCUCAACUCCAGAACUGCCUUUGAUACUGAAGAUCUUGAGUUCGGGAGAGGUGAGUGGAACUGCGAGUGUAGAGGUGAAAUUCGUAGAUAUUCGCAAGAACACCAGUGGCGAAGGCGGCUCACUGGCCCGAUACUGACGCUGAGGCACGAAAAGCGUGGGGGAGCAAACAGG